UUAAUCAUUAUUAUGUAACAUACAAACAAAUAAUAAUGAUAAUAAAAUAUCUUUUAUUAAUAAACAAAAUGAUAUACAAAAAGGUCCAAGAUAAUGGCCUAGGAAAAAUACACUAACAGUUCAGCUUGUGGGUCAUUACCUCAGGAUCAAUCCCUAGCAUAUCUGAGGGCUUCUAGGCAAAGCUCAAGGCGUGCCCUCUAAUUAAAGCCAUCGUAGCUUCCUUCUGGCUCUUCUCUAGGCUCGAGUUGAUGCUGAAGACCUUGUCACUUUCUUCCUCGGAUAAUGGGAAGGUCUCCAACUUGUCUACAGGUUCAAUCCUUGCCUCUUUCUUUUCAUCUCGGACCUCCAUAACUUCAGUGUUUAUUUCUUCCAGUUGGGCAUUUAGUUCCUCCAUUGUGGCCAGGUACACAACUCUAGCCUCCUCCUAUCUUCCCCGAACUAUACCUAUCCUUGCCUUCGUAGGAAAUUUCAUGGUUAGAUACCGAAUGGUAGUCACUGUCAUAUAGCAUCAGUCUUCCCAAGAUGGCAUUAUAGUUCAGGGGUAGCUUUACCAUUAGGAACAAUGCAUAGUGUGUUCAGGAUAGGGGUGGCUCCCCUAAGGUGAAGGCCACCAUUACUUUCCCUUUCACUACAACUGGAGUUCCCCCUAUCCCCUUGACUGGAGUUUGGUCCCUAACCAACUACUCUUCGGGUAUGUUCAUCUUCUAGAAUACCCGGUAGGACAGUAGGUUCACCUUG
This 738-nucleotide long non-coding RNA is filed under the name Manihot esculenta (cassava). Its description in RNAcentral is "long non-coding RNA (MESC_LNC005978)". Lineage: Eukaryota; Viridiplantae; Streptophyta; Magnoliopsida; Malpighiales; Euphorbiaceae. The record is from RNAcentral.